RNAcentral lists this ribosomal RNA (378 nucleotides) under uncultured Hypocreales. RNAcentral's name for it is "eukaryotic LSU rRNA". The stretch from base 323 to 378 matches the Rfam family "Eukaryotic large subunit ribosomal RNA", at positions 1 to 56 of the family's 3401-position model. The record is from RNAcentral. Lineage: Eukaryota; Fungi; Ascomycota; Sordariomycetes; Hypocreales.
UAUAUAUACAGUGAAUCAUCGAAUCUUUGAACGCACAUUGCACUGACGGUAAUUCGUCAGUAUACCUGUUUGAGCAUCAUCCACACCUCAACUGCGCGCAGGCCGUCACUGGCAGGCACUGCAGCUGGACCUGGGUUGCUGUCGCUCUUUGAUGGGCGACGCGACCUGAAGUGGAGGAGUGCGGACUGGUGUUGACGCCGCAGAGUUAAUUCAAGGCCUACCAUCACGGUGGCCGUGUCUUGUCUGCCUGGUGUUGGCCCUUAACCCACUCACCUUGACAUUGGACGGACGCGUCUUAGAAAACGCGUGACCGCUCAACCUUUGAUCUCGAAUCAAGUAAGAUUACCCGCUGAACUUAAGCAUAUCAAUAAGCGGAGG